UAAUCGCAGGUCAGCAUACUGCGGUGAAUACGUUCCCGGGUCUUGUACACACCGCCCGUCACACCAUGGGAGCCGGAAAUGCCCGAAGCCAGUGACCCAACCUUAGGGAGGGAGCUGUCGAAGGUGGAGCCGGUAACUGGGGUGAAGUCGUAACAAGGUACC
This 162-nucleotide ribosomal RNA is filed under the name uncultured bacterium. RNAcentral's name for it is "partial 16S ribosomal RNA". It matches the Rfam family "Bacterial small subunit ribosomal RNA", at positions 1339 to 1500 of the family's 1533-position model. The record is from RNAcentral.